GAUGAACGCUAGCGGGAGGCCUAACACAUGCAAGCCGAGCGGUAGAGAUUCUUCGGGAUCUUGAGAGCGGCGUACGGGUGCGGAACACGUGUGCAACCUGCCUUUAGCAGGGGGAUAGCCUUUCGAAAGGAAGAUUAAUACCCCAUAAUAUAUUUAUUGGCAUCAAUUAAUAUUGAAAACUCCGGUGGAUAGAGAUGGGCACGCGCAAGAUUAGAUAGUUGGUAGGGUAACGGCCUACCAAGUCAAUGAUCUUUAGGGGGCCUGAGAGGGUGAUCCCCCACACUGGUACUGAGACACUGACCAGACUCCUACGGGAGGCAGCAGUGAGGAAUAUUGGACAAUGGGUGAGAGCCUGAUCCAGCCAUCCCGCGUGAAGGACGACGGCCCCAUGGGUUGUAAACUUCUUUUGUACAGAACGAAAAGGUUUCUACUAAUACUAGGAGCUCAUGACGGUACUGUAAGAAUAAGCACCGGCUAACUACGUGCCAGCCGCCGCGGUAA
RNAcentral lists this ribosomal RNA (501 nucleotides) under uncultured bacterium. RNAcentral's name for it is "partial 16S ribosomal RNA". It matches the Rfam family "Bacterial small subunit ribosomal RNA", at positions 28 to 523 of the family's 1533-position model. The record is from RNAcentral.